This is a long non-coding RNA of Pelmatolapia mariae (spotted tilapia), 951 nucleotides long. RefSeq lists it as uncharacterized. The transcript is spliced from 4 exons. Lineage: Eukaryota; Metazoa; Chordata; Actinopteri; Cichliformes; Cichlidae. The record is from RefSeq and is a predicted model, not a curated record.
AGCUAGCGACUGGGUGACUUUAUUCACCCGCUUCGGCUGUUAUCAGUCCAUACAAUGGGCGUUAUUAGCAGAAAUCAGUCCCAUAGAUGUGGGCCAUCCACCUGCUAGAUUGUUCAGAAGGUUGUUAUCAUCCAUCCAGAUGGAGGAUCACUGACAGGAGCGUGGGAAGACUCCAGAAUCCACUCUGGCUGGAAUCCGGUGGAUACAGCAGUGUUACAGAACAGUUCUCCACAGUCGCUGUCCACAUGGGUCAGUGGGACCAAGCAGCACUCUGCUAAUGUGUGGACUCUGACCAGCAACAUCCAGCAAGACCCAGGCAGCGUUUUCUAUCUCCCAGCUGGAGUUUUUUGUUUGUCUGUGACUGGAGAGUCAGAUUUUUGUUGAAGCUGGAGGAACAGCCUCACACUCGCAGAGGUUAAUACACGCUACUGAUCCCUGAUGGGAGAAUCAUCACCUCUGCCAACAAAGAAGCCUGGUGGAUAUUUGUUUACAGUCUGAUGAUGGGACAUCAUGCUCUGCAUCUUCACAGUUUGUCUCUUGAUUAUUAUUCAUACACAGUAAUGUGAAGUAUGCUUAUAUCUAGUAUAACUGGACCAACGUGGUGCUCUUCAUUUAUGGAGGCUGUUGAGUCUGAAUGUUGGAUGUUGUGUAUCUCUUGUUCUCUGGGCUUUGUUGUCCUCAGUCUUUUUGCAGGAUCAGAAAACAAAACCAGGAUGACCGUAAAUGUUUCUUCUCCAAUUGGAUGAUGAUAAGACCGUGACACGGGAUGCCACCUUUAGUCUUGUGAUGAAGCAAAGCUCAGGACGAAGUGUGAUUAAAUGGUACCCACAUGUGUGCUGCUGAGAAGGAUGUACAAGGGCACCUGCAGCCAAAUCCAAGCCUCCUCAGCAACUUCAAGUCUGUCAGCGUGCUGAGGUCACAGAAACAAGAAAAGAAGCUUCAGACUUCAGA